This 292-nucleotide long non-coding RNA is filed under the name Brassica napus (rape). RNAcentral's name for it is "long non-coding RNA (BNAP_LNC019351)". The record is from RNAcentral. Lineage: Eukaryota; Viridiplantae; Streptophyta; Magnoliopsida; Brassicales; Brassicaceae.
UUUAUAUUUGCUUGGUGAUGGAUAUGACUCGAGUAAAGAGUUCAUGUUGUUAUCAAAAGCAACAACCUGUUAAUAACAAUAGAUUAUGAUCAAUGGCUUGAAGGUUAUCCAUUGAUCCACAUCUUGCGUUCCUCCUCACUUGCUAUCUUUGCUGAAAAUUUUCCCGAGCUAUACAAAUAUACAAUUGAGUAAACAAAAAUCUUAAAAUUAGAUUACUGGCUUUAAAAUAUGAGUCGGUGAGUGUGAUCCAGAGAUAGCUAGAAAAAUCUAGGAGUUUGGAUAUGAGAAGCUA